This 465-nucleotide ribosomal RNA is filed under the name Vreelandella stevensii. Its description in RNAcentral is "partial 16S ribosomal RNA". It matches the Rfam family "Bacterial small subunit ribosomal RNA", at positions 338 to 795 of the family's 1533-position model. Lineage: Bacteria; Pseudomonadati; Pseudomonadota; Gammaproteobacteria; Oceanospirillales; Halomonadaceae. The record is from RNAcentral.
CCUACGGGAGGCUGCAGUGGGGAAUAUUGGACAAUGGGGGGAACCCUGAUCCAGCCAUGCCGCGUGUGUGAAGAAGGCCCUCGGGUUGUAAAGCACUUUCAGUGAGGAAGAACGCCUGGUGGUUAAUACCCAUCAGGAAAGACAUCACUCACAGAAGAAGCACCGGCUAACUCCGUGCCAGCAGCCGCGGUAAUACGGAGGGUGCGAGCGUUAAUCGGAAUUACUGGGCGUAAAGCGCGCGUAGGUGGCUUGAUAAGCCGGUUGUGAAAGCCCCGGGCUCAACCUGGGAACGGCAUCCGGAACUGUCAAGCUAGAGAGCAGGAGAGGAAGGUAGAAUUCCCGGUGUAGCGGUGAAAUGCGUAGAGAUCGGGAGGAAUACCAGUGGCGAAGGCGGCCUUCUGGACUGACACUGACACUGAGGUGCGAAAGCGUGGGUAGCAAACAGGAUUAGAUACCCUGGUAGUC